UGUGACAAAGGCAAACCUGCCGAAAGGCAGGGACGCAAAGCUACAGGGCCUUCCCGCCAGGAUGGCAGCCAGCUACCGAAA
Molecule: non-coding RNA, 81 nt
Filed under: Paenibacillus sabinae
Lineage: Bacteria; Bacillati; Bacillota; Bacilli; Caryophanales; Paenibacillaceae
Description: c-di-GMP sequence
Rfam family: c-di-GMP-I-GGC riboswitch aptamer
Source: RNAcentral